RNAcentral lists this ribosomal RNA (301 nucleotides) under uncultured bacterium. RNAcentral's name for it is "partial 16S ribosomal RNA". It matches the Rfam family "Archaeal small subunit ribosomal RNA", at positions 459 to 760 of the family's 1478-position model. The record is from RNAcentral.
CAGUAGCCACGGUAAUACCAGCACCUCGAGUGGUCAGGAGGUUUAUUGGGCCUAAAGCAUCCGUAGCCGGUUGCAUAAGUUUUCGGUUAAAUCUAUGCGCUUAACGUAUAGGCCGCCGAAAAUACUGUGCAGCUAGGGAGUGGGAGAGGUACACGGUACUCGAUAGGAAGGGGUAAAAUCCUUUGAUCUAUUGAUGACCACCUGUGGCGAAGGCGGUGUACCAGAACACGUUCGACGGUGAGGGAUGAAAGCUGGGGGAGCAAACCGGAUUAGAUACCCCAGUAGUCCCUGUCUCUUAUAC